GCCAAAAACAAAGUCUAGCGGGAAUCAGCAGAAUAAAGCAACACACAAUGCACAACAACAAGAUUCACACUAUGUAAAUAUGACUAUGAGUAGAACGGACACCCAGAUGGUUCACACCGCUCAACC
Molecule: long non-coding RNA, 126 nt
Organism: Clarias gariepinus (North African catfish)
Lineage: Eukaryota; Metazoa; Chordata; Actinopteri; Siluriformes; Clariidae
Exons: 3
Source: RefSeq, a predicted model, not a curated record